CGAGUCUAUGGACUUCGGUCCAUGGCGGACGGCUCAGUAACACGUGGUUAACCCACCCUUAGGUGGGGGAUAACCUUGGGAAACUGAGGAUAAUACCCCAUAGGAAAAGAGGUUUGGAAUAAUCCUUUUCUGAAAGGACAUCCGCCUAAGGAUGGGACUGCGUCUGAUUAGGUAGUUGGUGGGGUAAUGGCCCACCAAGCCUACGAUCAGUACGGGCCUUGAGAGAGGGAGCCCGGAGAUGGGGACUGAGACACGGCCCCAGGCCCUACGGGGCGCAGCAGGCGCGAAACCUCCACAAUGCACGAAAGUGCGAUGGGGGAAUCCCAAGUGCCUAUGUAAAACAUAGGCUUUUCCCAAGUUUAAACAACUUGGGGAAUAAGGGCUGGGCAAGUCCGGUGCCAGCAGCCG
Molecule: ribosomal RNA, 408 nt
Filed under: uncultured prokaryote
Description: bacterial SSU rRNA
Rfam family: Archaeal small subunit ribosomal RNA
Source: RNAcentral